Molecule: ribosomal RNA, 407 nt
Filed under: uncultured bacterium
Lineage: Bacteria
Description: bacterial SSU rRNA
Rfam family: Bacterial small subunit ribosomal RNA
Source: RNAcentral
AACGAACGCUGGCGGCGUGCUUAACACAUGCAAGUCGAACGAGAAAGUCGUAGCAAUACGGCGAGUAAAGUGGCGCACGGGUCCGUAACACGUGGAUAAUCUACUUCCGAGCGGGGGGACAACCUGUCGAAAGACGGGCUAAUACCUCAUAAGACCACGGCUUCUCCGGAAGCCGGGGCCAAAGGUGGCCUCUAUUUAUAAGCUAUCGCUUGGAACUGAGUCCGCGCACCAUCAGCUAGNGGUAGGGUAACGGCCUACCAAGGCUAAGACGGUUAGCUGGUCUGAGAGGACGAUCAGCGACACUGGAACUGAGACACGGUCCAGACUCCUACGGGAGGCAGCAGUGGGGAAUCUUGCGCAAUGGGCGAAAGCCUGACGCAGCGACGCCGCGUGAGGGAUGACGGCCU